Molecule: ribosomal RNA, 654 nt
Filed under: Boletus sp. MUSH168-07
Lineage: Eukaryota; Fungi; Basidiomycota; Agaricomycetes; Boletales; Boletaceae
Description: eukaryotic LSU rRNA
Rfam family: 5.8S ribosomal RNA (bases 205-359)
Source: RNAcentral
CAUUAUCGAUGCUUCACAAGGAACGCUGUCGCUGGCUCUUCUUGAAAGGAAGAGCAUGUGCACGUCUUCCUUUUUCUUUCACUCUCGUGCACUCCCUGUAGUCCCAGGGCAAACAAACAUGACCUGGGUCUACGUUCUUCGUUUACAUCUCCUCGAAUCGCAUGUCUAGAAAGAUUGUAUAUAUAUAUCAUACACAAAUUUUACAACUUUCAGCAACGGAUCUCUUGGCUCUCGCAUCGAUGAAGAACGCAGCGAAUUGCGAUAAGUAAUGUGAAUUGCAGAUUUUCAGUGAAUCAUCGAAUCUUUGAACGCACCUUGCGCUCCUUGGUAUUCCGAGGAGCAUGCCUGUUUGAGUGUCAUCGAAUUCUCAACCAUGUUCUCUCUCUUUGGAGAAGGGACAUGGCUUGGACUUGGGAGUUGCUGGCCAUCUCGUCAGCUCUCCUGAAAUGCAUUAGUGGUCGCCAGCAAGUCUGGACGUGCACGGCCUUCCGACGUGAUAAUGAUCGUCGUGGGCUGGAACGUCAAGGACAAGCAUGAAUGGGUCCGAUCCGCUUCCAAUUCCCCACCACUUCUUGGACAGCACUUUUGUGACUAGUCGAGUUCCUCGACUGAACAUGAGGCAGCAGUCCUUUGAAGUCUUCGAACGCUUGACCU